RNAcentral lists this ribosomal RNA (496 nucleotides) under uncultured bacterium. Its description in RNAcentral is "partial 16S ribosomal RNA". It matches the Rfam family "Bacterial small subunit ribosomal RNA", at positions 29 to 507 of the family's 1533-position model. The record is from RNAcentral.
AUGAACGCUGGCGGCGUGCCUAAUACAUGCAAGUCGAGCGAACAGACGAGGAGCUUGCUCCUCUGACGUUAGCGGCGGACGGGUGAGUAACACGUGGAUAACCUACCUAUAAGACUGGGAUAACUUCGGGAAACCGGAGCUAAUCCCGGAUAAUAUAUUGAACCGCAUGGUUCAAUAGUGAAAGACGGUUUUGCUGUCACUUAUAGAUGGAUCCGCGCCGCAUUAGCUAGUUGGUAAGGUAACGGCUUACCAAGGCAACGAUGCGUAGCCGACCUGAGAGGGUGAUCGGCCACACUGGAACUGAGACACGGUCCAGACUCCUACGGGAGGCAGCAGUAGGGAAUCUUCCGCAAUGGGCGAAAGCCUGACGGAGCAACGCCGCGUGAGUGAUGAAGGUCUUCGGAUCGUAAAACUCUGUUAUUAGGGAAGAACAAAUGUGUAAGUAACUAUGCACGUCUUGACGGUACCUAAUCAGAAAGCCACGGCUAACUACGUG